RNAcentral lists this ribosomal RNA (256 nucleotides) under uncultured Funneliformis. RNAcentral's name for it is "partial large subunit ribosomal RNA". It matches the Rfam family "Eukaryotic large subunit ribosomal RNA", at positions 359 to 604 of the family's 3401-position model. The record is from RNAcentral. Lineage: Eukaryota; Fungi; Glomeromycota; Glomeromycetes; Glomerales; Glomeraceae.
GAAAGAUGAAAAGAACUUUGAAAAGAGAGUUAAAUAGUACGUGAAAUUGUUGGAAAGGAAACGAUUAAAGUCAGUCAUACCAACGGGAAAUCAACCUUUUUGAGUUUGGUCUUGUGGGUUUGAAGAGUUUCAAAGCCUUCCGAUUUGUGAGAUUGGGAUCUCUUGGUGCACUUUUUCGUACGGUUAGUCAACAUCAGUUUUAAUCAUUAUAAAAUGGUUGAAGGAAUGUAACUUUGAUUUCGAUCGAGGUAUUAUA